This 275-nucleotide ribosomal RNA is filed under the name uncultured Geminicoccus sp. RNAcentral's name for it is "partial 16S ribosomal RNA". It matches the Rfam family "Bacterial small subunit ribosomal RNA", at positions 338 to 630 of the family's 1533-position model. Lineage: Bacteria; Pseudomonadati; Pseudomonadota; Alphaproteobacteria; Geminicoccales; Geminicoccaceae. The record is from RNAcentral.
CCUACGGGGGGCUGCAGUGGGGAAUCUUGGACAAUGGGCGCAAGCCUGAUCCAGCGACGCCGCGUGGGUGACGAAGGCCUUCGGGUUGUAAAGCCCUUUUCCCGGGGACGAUGAUGACGGUACCCGGGGAAUAAGCACCGGCUAACUCCGUGCCAGCAGCCGCGGUAAGACGGAGGGUGCUAGCGUUGUUCGGAAUUACUGGGCGUAAAGGGCGCGUAGGCGGCCGCUCAAGUCGGGUGUGAAAGCCCGGGGCUCAACCCCGGAACUGCACUCGA